Molecule: ribosomal RNA, 453 nt
Filed under: uncultured copper smeltery bacterium D65
Lineage: Bacteria
Description: bacterial SSU rRNA
Rfam family: Bacterial small subunit ribosomal RNA
Source: RNAcentral
GCCCUUAGAGUUUGAUCGUGGCUCAGAACGAACGCUGGCGGCAUGCUUAACACAUGCAAGUCGAACGAGGGCUUCGGCCCUAGUGGCGAACGGGUGAGUAACGCGUGGGAACCUGCCUUGGAGUGGGGGAUAACCACUGGAAACGGUGGCUAAUACCGCAUGCGCCCUGAGGGGCAAAGCCCCGGAUCUCGGUCCGGGGCGCUUUGAGAGGGGCCCGCGUCCGAUUAGCUAGUUGGUGGGGUAACGGCCUACCAAGGCUGCGAUCGGUAGCUGGUCUGAGAGGAUGAUCAGCCACACUGGGACUGCGACACGGCCCAGACUCCUACGGGAGGCAGCAGUGGGGAAUAUUGGACAAUGGGGGAAACCCUGAUCCAGCAAUGCCGCGUGCGUGACGAAGGCCUUCGGGUUGUAAAGCGCUUUCGCCCGCGACGAUGAUGACGGUAGCGGGAGAAG